This 274-nucleotide ribosomal RNA is filed under the name uncultured bacterium. Its description in RNAcentral is "partial 16S ribosomal RNA". It matches the Rfam family "Bacterial small subunit ribosomal RNA", at positions 523 to 796 of the family's 1533-position model. The record is from RNAcentral.
AUACGGAGGGUGCGAGCGUUAAUCGGAAUUACUGGGCGUAAAGCGUGCGUAGGCGGUUUGCUAAGUCAGAUGUGAAAGCCCCGGGCUUAACCUGGGAACUGCAUUUGAUACUGGCAGACUAGAGUAUGAUAGAGGGGGGUAGAAUUCCUGGUGUAGCGGUGAAAGGCGUAGAUAUCAGGAGGAAUACCAGUGGCGAAGGCGGCCCCCUGGAUCAAUACUGACGCUGAGGUACGAAAGCGUGGGGAGCGAACAGGAUUAGAAACCCUAGUAGUCC